RNAcentral lists this transfer RNA (67 nucleotides) under Linepithema humile (Argentine ant). RNAcentral describes it as "tRNA-Arg". The record is from RNAcentral. Lineage: Eukaryota; Metazoa; Arthropoda; Insecta; Hymenoptera; Formicidae.
ACCUUUAAAGUAAACCUUACAUUUAAUUUCGACUUAAAAUUUUGAUUAUAUUAAUAGUCUAAAGGUA